Long non-coding RNA from Etheostoma cragini (Arkansas darter), 91 nucleotides. RefSeq lists it as uncharacterized. The transcript is spliced from 3 exons. The record is from RefSeq and is a predicted model, not a curated record. Lineage: Eukaryota; Metazoa; Chordata; Actinopteri; Perciformes; Percidae.
CCAUCUGAAGUUUACUGUCACUACAUGCUGCUGGCGCUGAUUUGAAUAGACCUGAACGCUACGCUGUAUAGCGCUGAUGGUAUCUCCUUUA